AUUGAACGCUGGCGGCAGGCCUAACACAUGCAAGUCGAACGGAGCGGCGGACGGGUGCGUAAUGCCUAGGACUCGGACUGGUAGUGGGGGAUAACGUCAGGAAACGGGCGCUAAUGCCGAAUACUAUCAGCUGAGCCUAGGUCGGAUUAGCUAGUUGGUGUGGUAAAGGCCUACCAAGGCCACGAUCCGUAACUGGUCUUGGAGGAUGAUCAGUCACACUGGAACUGAGACACGGGCCAGCCUCCUACGGGAGGCAGCAGUGGGGAAUAUUGGACAAUGGGCGAAAGCCUGAUCCAGCCAUGCCGCGUGGUUGAAGAAGGUCUUCGGAUUGUAAAGCACUUUAAGUUGGGAGGCGUUACCAACAGAAUAAGCACCGGCUAACUUCGUGCCAGCAGCCGCGGUAAUAC
RNAcentral lists this ribosomal RNA (407 nucleotides) under uncultured bacterium. RNAcentral describes it as "partial 16S ribosomal RNA". It matches the Rfam family "Bacterial small subunit ribosomal RNA", at positions 30 to 526 of the family's 1533-position model. The record is from RNAcentral.